UGUUCAUCUCCUGGCCAGCUCAAGAAAAGAUUUAAAACUGCUGCUUGGAUUGUUUCCUUGGGCUGGGGCUUCCUCUUGCAAUGCUGAAGAUGAAUUGUUUCAGUACUCUCAGUGAUUUGUUGUGCUUCUGCGUGCACUGAGCAUUGCAUCCAGAGGUGGCUCCUUUCCGGUGCCAUGCAGAGCAUCCAGUCUUUCUCUCUCCGUGAUUCCUGGUGAAGCCUGAAAGGCAGCCCGGCUCCUGCAGGAUGGAAGAGGCUGAGAACACUGAUCUACGGCUGUGCCCUGCAAGUGCUGAGCCCUUCGGUGAGCUGUAGGAGGCCCUCAGCACCCAUCAACCUCACACAAGAAGGAAAGGGCAGAUUUUCCUAGGUGAUACAGCUGAGAAAAGCGUGGGUACAAAUUCUUGUGAAAGUGACUGAAAGGCUCAGAAACAAGUCUGAAGGAUCCCAAAUGGAUUUGCUGUUAUUUUUUAAUCUUUGCUUCAAGACAAGUGCCGCUAUCAUUUA
Molecule: long non-coding RNA, 506 nt
Filed under: Chrysolophus pictus (golden pheasant)
Lineage: Eukaryota; Metazoa; Chordata; Aves; Galliformes; Phasianidae
Description: lncRNA (ENSCPIG00010010475.1)
Source: RNAcentral